CAGCAGCGAAAGUGUUAAGAAACCAUUCUUGUAAUUCUUUCAACGCCACAAUGAAUUCUUCGAACCUAGUGUUUUCAUUAAUGUCAGUGAGCUUCGAGAAUUGGACUGUGGUUUGUCGAGAACGAGUGCUGUGAAAUAAGGUGCUGACAGUGGACACUUGUGAAAAUUAUUCAUGCCGGCAGUGCAAUAAGAAGUCCUUAUAAGUUUGCUCCACUGACAAGACAGCUAAAAAAAAAAAAAAAAAAGAGAA
This is a long non-coding RNA of Schistocerca serialis cubense, 250 nucleotides long. RefSeq lists it as uncharacterized. NCBI's taxonomy places the organism in Eukaryota, Metazoa, Arthropoda, Insecta, Orthoptera, Acrididae. The record is from RefSeq and is a predicted model, not a curated record. The transcript has 2 exons.